AUUCAAAUACCACGCAGGCAAUGAUGGAAACGGAGUCAAGUUUGGGCCAGGAAGCCACCUGCAGCUGGGCGGGCAACUUUGUGAAGAAUGUCCCGAUGAACCACGGCGUGUACACGUGGCCGGACGGCAGCAUGUAUGAAGGCGAAGUGGUCAACGGCAUGAGGAACGGAUUCGGGAUGUUCAAGUGCAGCACCCAGCCUGUGUCCUACAUCGGCCACUGGUGCAAUGUUAUAAAUCUGGAAAUAUAUACGAAGGCCAGUGGGAAGACAACAUGCGCCACGGGGAGGGGAGGAUGAGGUGGCUGACCACCAACGAAGAGUACACCGGGCGGUGGGAGAGGGGCAUCCAGAAUGGCUUUGGAACACACACGUGGUUUCUAAAGAGAAUCCGCAGUUCCCAGUAUCCUUUGAGAAAUGAAUACAUAGGGGAGUUUGUAAAUGGAUAUCGUCACGGACGUGGCAAGUUUUAUUAUGCCAGUGGAGCCACGUAUGAUGGAGAAUGGGUUUCCAAUAAGAAACAUGGCAUGGGCCGAUUAACUUUCAAGAACGGGCGUGUGUACGAAGGCGCAUUCUCCAAUGACCACAUAGCCGGGUUUCCAGAUCUUGAAGUUGAAUUCAUCAGCUGCCUGGACCUGUCUUCAGGAGUUGCCCCAAGAUUGUCCAGGAGCGCCGAACUGAUCAGAAAGCUUGAUGGCAGUGAAAGUCAUUCUGUGUUGGGAUCGAGCAUUGAGUUGGAUCUAAAUUUGCUCCUGGACAUGUACCCUGAGACAGUCCAACCUGAAGAAAAGAAGCAGGUGGAAUAUGCCGUCUUAAGAAAUAUUACAGAAUUAAGAAGAAUCUACAGCUUUUACAGCAGCCUGGGAUGCGGCCACUCUCUGGAUAAUACCUUUCUGAUGACAAAGCUUCACUUCUGGAGAUUUCUAAAAGAUUGCAAAUUUCAUCACCACAAACUAACUCUUGCUGAUAUGGACAGGAUAUUAAGUGGCAAUUUAUUCUGUGAGCAACAGCGGACGCUCUACUCUAUGAGUUACAUGAAUAAGUGCUGGGAGAUUUAUCUCGCCUACUGCAGACGCAGCGCAGCGCCUCCCCACGAGCCUACGAUGAAGAUGAGACACUUCCUCUGGAUGCUGAAAGACUUUAAAAUGAUAAAUAAAGAAUUAACAGCAGCUACAUUUAUGGAGGUCAUAGCAGAGGAUAAUCCGUUCAUAUAUGAUGGAAUUGACAGCAACUUUGAACCUGAGGAUGCCCCGAACAAGAGUCUCAGCGCGGUCAUGAGCCACGAAUCGGAUGCUGCUCACUCUGACAGUGCCAGGUCAUCUUCCAGCAAGUUAGAACUCUCGCGUGAUGUUAACAAAAUAAGGAAAUCAGAGAGAAGUAUGAGAGACCCAAGGAUGAUCGAAAGGAAGAGUUCAACACGUGGGUCAAUAAUAUGUACGUCUUCUUUGUGAACACGCUCUUUCACGCGUAUAAACGUGAAGAAGCUAUCAAGGAGAAAAUAAGGGCAGACAGGUUACGUAGCACAGCACAGGCCCAGCAGCGGAAGAUGGAAGAUGACGAACUGGAAGCAAGGUAACUUAUGAGGUCCCUCCUCUCCUUCCCCAGCUGCUCUCUCUCUUCCUGUCUUCCGCAGCUGCCAGAACGCAUCAGGACCAAGUGCUUUCCGGACAAGCUGUAAUUUCCUAUGGGCAUCGUUGACAUAAAAAGGAAUGAAUAUUUGGUCUCUGUUCCUGGCA
RNAcentral lists this small RNA (1732 nucleotides) under Pan troglodytes (chimpanzee). Its description in RNAcentral is "processed transcript". The record is from RNAcentral. Lineage: Eukaryota; Metazoa; Chordata; Mammalia; Primates; Hominidae.